RNAcentral lists this ribosomal RNA (373 nucleotides) under uncultured bacterium. Its description in RNAcentral is "bacterial SSU rRNA". It matches the Rfam family "Bacterial small subunit ribosomal RNA", at positions 29 to 416 of the family's 1533-position model. The record is from RNAcentral.
AGCGAACGCUAGCGGCGGGCCUAACACAUGCAAGUCGAGCGGAGGGAGCAAUCCUUCAGCGGCGGACGGGUGAGUAACGCGUAGGUAAUGUACCUUCUGGUGGGGAAUAACCGUGGGAAACCAUGGCUAAUACCGCAUAUCGUCCUUACGGAUGAAAGCCUUCGGGCGCCAGAAGAGCAGCCUGCGUCCCAUUAUUUAGUCCUAGUUGGUGAGGUAACGGCUCACCAAGGGUACGAUGGGUAGCUGGUCUGAGAGGAUGAUCAGCCACACUGGGACUGAGACACGGUCCAGACUCCUACGGGAGGCAGCAGUGGGGAAUAUUGCGCAAUGGGCGAAAGCCUGACGCAGCCACGCCGCGUGAGUGAUGAAGGCC